This 253-nucleotide ribosomal RNA is filed under the name uncultured bacterium. Its description in RNAcentral is "partial 16S ribosomal RNA". It matches the Rfam family "Bacterial small subunit ribosomal RNA", at positions 524 to 776 of the family's 1533-position model. The record is from RNAcentral.
UACGUAGGGGGCAAGCGUUAUCCGGAUUUACUGGGUGUAAAGGGGGCGCAGACGGCGAUGCAAGCCAGGAGUGAAAGCCCGGGGCCCAACCCCGGGACUGCUCUUGGAACUGCGUGGCUGGAGUGCAGGAGGGGCAGGCGGAAUUCCUGGUGUAGCGGUGAAAUGCGUUGAUAUCAGGAGGAACACCGGUGGCGAAGGCGGCCUGCUGGACUGCAACUGACGUUGAGGCCCGAAAGCGUGGGGAGCAAACAGG